AUCCCCGACGAUGUACUCCUCGAGAUACUCUUCCGCGUGUCCGCAGACGUCGCCGCCCUGGUCCGAUGUGCCGCGACCUGCAAGCAGUGGUGUGCUCUCAUAGCCGACCCGUGCUUCCUCCGCCGCCGCUGGCCGGAGAACACGAGCCACCCGUCCUCUCUCCUCGGGUUCUUCGAUCAGCACGAUCGAGGCCUUGUCUUUGUCCCGGCGCCAUCAGGACCAACGCUCGGCGCUGGUUGUCGUUUGUUCUCCUCGUCCGUCUGCGGCGUGCAGGCUGACCUCUUGGACGGUGCGACGCCGGUCACCGCACGCUGUGGCCUCCUCCUGGCGCGCCUUGCCCGCGGUUCAAAUAUGAACUCGGUCCACUUGGCCGUGUAUGACCUGCUGGCCCGCACAUGCGAUGUGCUUCCCCCGCUCCAGUGUGAAGUUUCGGGCAUCAGUUGUGCCAUUCUAACCGGUUCAGACUAUCGCUCAUCAGACGGGUUGCAGCAGCGAGCAUCAUCUCCUGGUUACUCUACGUUCUUUACAGUGCAAACCCUUGUCAAUUACGCCAAUGUCGAGAGAAUGGAGUACAAGUGCAACCUCUACACGUUUUCAUCUGCCAAGGCGAGUUGGAGUGCGCCUAGAAGCUGCUUCGGCGACAAGACUUGGGCAUGUCGGAAUGGUGGCGGCUUUUGGAUGCCAUUUGAGAACCACAAUCGGCACAGCCACGAUGCCGUCGUGUGUGGCGGCAGGACGCACUGGAUCACCGCGUACCAGCCAGUUGGGGGUCCAAGAAAGUAUCACACCUUCAAUGUCAGUGUCGAUACAGGUCACGUCUCCUUGACAGAGCUCUCCAUCCCACUCCUCAAAGGCUUUUAUGGCUGGCCCAUACUUUGCGUCGGAGUGGAGGGGACACUUAUGUUGUUGAAGGUAGACAGUAAAGCUGGCAUCCCGCGCCUAGAUAUCUGGACGCGCCGGGGAGGCAGCGAUGGAGAGAGUGAAACCUUUUGGCUCCCUGUUGGGGUGUUUGACCUAAAAUCACCCACAAAGAAGUGGUGUCCUGCGAUGAUCCGUGUGUGGUUAGGAGAAAAGAGCGGUACAUUGUUCAUCUUAGAUGCGUCAUGCCACAUGCACAAGUUGGACACUGAAACAGGAGCAAUGGAGGAUGUAACAGGAUUACUUCGAUACAGCUUGUCUAUCAGUGCCGUGGCUAUAGAGAUUGAUUGGCCGGCAUUGUUCCUAUCUCGGCUUGGU
Molecule: ribosomal RNA, 1236 nt
Filed under: Triticum aestivum (bread wheat)
Lineage: Eukaryota; Viridiplantae; Streptophyta; Magnoliopsida; Poales; Poaceae
Description: partial small subunit ribosomal RNA
Source: RNAcentral